RNAcentral lists this long non-coding RNA (5931 nucleotides) under Sorghum bicolor (sorghum). RNAcentral describes it as "long non-coding RNA (SBIC_LNC011489)". Lineage: Eukaryota; Viridiplantae; Streptophyta; Magnoliopsida; Poales; Poaceae. The record is from RNAcentral.
GUUCCACCAAAAGAGAAAGAUGCUACAUCAAAACUAAAAUCCAAAAUCUUUUUAUUAUUUGACCUGAGUAUGGUUUUGUCAUUUCUGUCAAAAAGGCAGUUAUUAUAUCUCAUACCAGUCCACCAGUUAGUAACAGAAAGUGAUUUUAUUUAGAAAGUAUUCUCUUUAAGAAAAAAACAUUAUUCACGAACCUGAUCAUUUUGGCUGAACCAAACCCAAGGCUAUCAUGAAAUAGGUUUGUCAUGUACUUCUUUUGAGCAACGCUCAAAAGCUUUGAGUUGUUGUAUAUAUCAGGCAGGUACGCCUCCCCAUUCCCUUCUUUGUGUUUAUUCCAUAGUUCAACAAACUUUUUCUGGAACAAAUUCCACGACUCUUCAAUUGUCUUCAAGAUCCAUUUCUUGUAAGCCUGCAAAAAAGAUAGGCAGCAGAGCACUUAGUUAACGCUUAACGCUACUACUGAAGAUGUCAUUAAUAGAAAGCCGGUAACGGAUCUUUCGAAAAAAAAGAUGUCAUUAAUUAAGUAACGCUACUACUGAAGAUGCAUGAAUCAAAUGCAAGGGACAUUUUUGACUGGUAUACUUUUGUCUGCCAAGUACUAUCCUCUUUAUGCUAAACAUGACAGCUUUGAUUAUCCCCAGGUGUCAGAAAAGUCACUAUUUCUCAUGUAAGAAAUUAGCAUCAUACUCCAAACAUCUAUCCAUCACAGAAGUAGACUCUGAAGACAUUUGACUGACAUUACCCUAGUAACUCAAAAACAAGCUAAACCACACAAAGCAACCCAACUACAUUUGACAGCAAGAAACCAUAAGAAGAAUUUGGUAUGGAUAGAAGUGAACUAGCCAACAUGGUAUGAUUAGACCAUGUACUACUAAUAUUGAAGUUAUAAAGGGUGAAAAAGUAACAAGCUAGCAGAUUCAUUCAUACAUACCUUACGAUCGUUCGCUUGAUCAGCAUGCCCAUUCUGUGCAUAGUAUGCCAAAAUCAGGUUUCCAAGGAAGGCUCCAAUGUCAUAACCCAUUGGCCCAUAGAACCCAAACUCUGAAUCAAUGAUUUGAGUUGAACCUGUGGUCACCAUGAUAGAAGCAGUGUGGAGAUCUCCAUGAAUCAGAGCCUGAGCUCUCUCCAUAAACCUGAAGUUCGAAAACGAAUAAUUCGUAUUUCCCAUAUAUAGAAACAAACCAUAGAUGGCAAUUAUUUCUACAAAGUUAGGUAAUUAUUACAGCGAUUUCAAUUCAGCCGCUUCCAACUUGAGCUCCUCAUCCUCUCGAACUGCCUCAGCAUCUUUGUCAAGAUAAGGUGAGGUCCACCGAUUAAAUUUCGAGACGCGGUAUGGAUCCGAGAACACAAAUUGCUCCGUGAGCCUACACAUCUCCACGUUCGCAGAGUACUUAGCAACUGAAACCACAGCACAACCCAUUGCAUAUCCGUCAGUCGUUAGUGCACGUGAAAACAUGAAAAACAAUUCAAAAAAACGUAAUUUGAUCAUUUGAAAAAAAAUUGAAAUUUGAUAUAUUUAUAGUGCGUACUAAUUAAUAUAUACUCAAAUGAAAAGUUGAGACGCAAACUCAAACUAGGCCUUGUUUACUUCCUAGAAAAUUUUGUAAAACUUUUCACAUUUUCCGUCACAUAGAAUCUUGCGACGCAUGCAUAGAACAUUAAAUAUAGAUAAAAAAAUAACUAAUUACAUAGUUUGUCUAUAAUUUGUGAGAUGAAUCUUUUGAGCCUAUUUAGUUUAUGAUUGGAUAAUAUUUGUCACAUACAAACAAAAAUACUACAGUACCUAUUUUCCAAAAUAUUUUAGAUCUAAACAAGGCCCUAGAAAUAUUCAUACGAAAAUGACAAAUUCUAGUGGACAUGCAUAUAAAAUUUGUGAUUUUCGUAUGAAUUUUUGAAAAGUGAGUUUGUCUCUCAACUUUUGCAUGUGAAUACAUAUUUAUAUGCACUAUGGAUGUACUAAAUUUUAGUUUUUUUUUGAACAACGGAAAUAAGAUUCUUGAAUUGGUUUUCAUAGGCAUGGCCACGUACCAACAAGUGGGAGCCAUCUCAACAGCAAUGAAGGGGCUCACCUCCUUUCUUAUGAUCCGUGGUGUUGUUAUAGAGGAGGGAGGUGAAGAAGAGCGUCUUGGCCAUGUAAUCGGACAUGUGGUCGGCGAGCAGCGGGUACUCGACGCCGGCGAUGAAGCCCUUGCGGAGGAUGAUGUGCGGGGGCUCGAUGUAACGCAUCGCCAUCAGCGACAUGGCCCGGUCCAAGUGGUACACCUCGGGGGUGUGCUCCGGGCACAGGCGGCCGUGCUCACGCAGCGUGGAGGCCUCGAAGUAGACGCGCUCCCGCGUCAUCGGCCACGAGUCCCCCACGGAGCGCACGUACGGGAGCGCCUGCGUGUUCCAGGUUCGCCCGCGCCGUGAGGUCAGGUGAGAGGGAAGCUAGGACGAGGAGGCGGGGCGGACACUCGAUCGUACCUGUUUGACGACGAUCGCGCCAGCUUCGGACCGCACGAUGUAGACGAAGUUGACGUUGCCGUCGCCGACCUCCUUGAUCUCGAGGGAGUCCAGGCUGCCGCCGCCGAGGCGGGAGGCGAGCGCCGGCGUGGUCUUGAUGUAGGCGACUAAGGACGCCUCGUCCAGCGGGCGGAAGCCUUGCUCCGCCUCCGCGGUCAUGGCUGAGGCUGACUGCCACUCGGGCGGUGAGGGCGCCGGCGGGUGGGUGGGGGGGGGGGGGGGGGGGGGGGGGGGGAAUCUGCCAAUUGCGGUGUGUGGUGGUGGGGUUUAUGAGGAGAAGAGAGCAUUCUGAAUGUGUGAUAUCAAUCACAACAGCACUGCCUUGCGGACUUUUGGGAGUGAGACACAGACAAACCAAAUGCAAACGGGCAGCUCUUUUUCGGUGAAGUGAAUUUAUACUUAGGCCCUGUUUGGUUCCACCAACUAAAUUUUAGCUACUCUUGGGUGACUAAUGGAACUAAACUAUUUUAACUACUUUUAGUCAAUGUGUUUGGAACUUUAGCUACUAAAGUGACUAAAGUUUAACUAACUAAAAUUUAGUUGGUGGAACCAAACAGGGCCUUAAUCUAUAUCUGUAUCUACUUUUUUAACAACAAGUUUGACCACUCGUCUUCUUCAAAAAUUUAUGCAAAAUAUGACUUCUUUCAUUGUGGUUUGAUUUAUUAAUAAAAUUUUUCUAAGAAUAACUUAAAUUUAACUAUGUUUAUAUAAAUUUUUUGAAUAAAAGAAUGGUCAAACUUGAGGUAAAAAAAGUCAAACGUAUUAUAAUUUGAAACGGAGGAAGUAUUAAUUAAAGAUAGGGAGAAUUGGCUGUGGGACAUGUAGAAUGGUGGCCAUUUGCCAGCGGACAUUAGAAAAAAUUAGAUUGCUCAAAGACACUUCGUUUCUUGUCAAAUUUGCUGGCGGACACUAUGUCUAAUCAAACAUUAUUGCAAAAUAGAUAUAAAAUCAUAUAAGUGCUAGAAAAUUAUACUAUAAAUUUUUUUACACUCUACAUGUUGAGAACUAUACUGUAAAAAUAUUGUUUUGCACUAAAAUGACCAUUUUGCCCCUCUUCAUAAAUAGACAAAGAUAACCAUGGUUAAUUAGUUAAUAUAUUAGUAAGAUACUAAAAAUACUAAACAAUAUUUUUACACUAUAGUUCUCAUCAUGUGGAGUGUAAAAAAAUUAUAGUAUAAUUUUCUAGCACUUAUAUGAUUUUAUAUCUAUUUUGCAAUAAUGUUUGAUUAGACGUAGUGUCCGCCAGCAAAUUUAACAAGAAAUAGAGUGUUUUUGAGCAAUCUAAUUUUUCCUAGCGUUCGCCGGCAAAUAGCCACCAUUCUGCAUGUCCCACAGCCAAUUCUCCCUUAAAGAUAUGUUUGGAACAUAUAUAGGAUUGAAAAACGUAGAAAUCAGAAAAACACAAGUAAAAUAUGUAAUAAAAAACAGAAAUUUUAUAGGAAAAUUUGUUAUUUUUUUACAAUAAAGGAAAAGUUAGCCUUAGGAAAAACACAAGGACGAGCUACGCUUCUCAGGGCCGAAGCUCCUCACUCCUCUUGUGCGAUACAUGUUGCAGAUGUAUUUAUGUGAUAUUGUAACACAUGAUGUCUGAUGCUUUGCCAUUCGAUUUCUAAUGAUUCACUCUGUUGUAGUAGAUGUAAAGUUUAGGAUUUAGGGUUUAGGGUUUAGGGUAGGGUUUAGGGUUUAGGGUUAACUAAGAGCAUCUCCAAAGGCUUUGGCAAAUUGAUUUGACAUUUGUUGCUAUUUGCAAACUGCCAUAACAAAAUGCAAAGGAUAAAAAUAGGUCAUCUCCAAGGAAAUUGUCAUUUAGACUUAGCAAAGGAUAAAAAUAGAAGAUCUCCAGGCGCGCGUGCUUUCCUCGUGCGUGACUUUGCUUGCGCGAUCGGGUUUGCAAAGUCGUCCACAGUUUGGCAUUUUUGCCAAGUUUGCUCCCCCAUUUGCCAUGUUGCCCAAAUUGCAAACUCCAAAUGCAAAACCGUUGGAUACCUUUUUUGGAUCUUUUUAGCAAAUUACUCAAAUGCAAAACCCUUAGAAAUGCUCUAAUAUUCCUUCGUGUUGAUUUUGUUGCCAUGACCUCUUUUGAGAAUGUUGCAUUGCAUCGCAUAAUCAGUGGAUUUUGAUAUGUUCUCAUCGAGAUGGAGAUGAGUAUCUUUUUAUAUGCCGCAACAACUAUAACUAGAUGCACCAAUAAUUACGUUGAUUUUUUUGCAAUGACUUUUUUUGUUUGGAUGUCAUUGUUUUGUUUCGAUCAAGAUAGAGAUGGAGAUCAAAAAUCUUUUUUAAUGUUGCAAUCGCAUGUUUUCGAUGGUGCACCAAACGAUUUAGUUUCUUUAAAUCAACUCCAUCUCUACUUUGUUGCCGCAUUCUUCUCCUCUUAAGAUGACAGUUGUUGCAACAAGUGUGUUUUCAUGUUGUAACUGUCUGAGUAUUUUCGUUGGACUUUUUGGACUCUUUACUGCAAGAACUGGAUAUCAUUGCAUUCGACUUGGUAAGCUCAUUGCGAUAUUCAGAAAUAUCUACAUGGACUCUUAUCUAAUAAGAGAGGAAAGAAAAAAUAAUCUACAUGUACUAUAAUCAGAAACAAAAGGAGAAAAAAAAAAGACAGCAACAUGUGUUAUUGGUAUCCUAGUAUAAGGACAUGUUUAGGCCUCGUUCGUUUGGCCUGGCUUUGAGGGUAGAACUAUUCCAGCUAAUACAUGUUAAAUUGUUAAUACAAAUAAGCUUAUGGUUCCAGUUGAAAUAGUUCCAGUUCCAGGGCAACCAAUACACAAUAAAUGAACAAGCCCAUUUUUCAGGGCUUCAUUCCCCUUCAAACAAACGGCACUCCUUCGCUGGCUCCGAUACUGCUGUAGUGAAUCCGGUCGGAGCCCCAAACCUACAGUUCUUCCCGUGCUACAGUGAGGUAUAAUACUGUGCGCUACAGUUCACUGAUGUCCAAAGAAAACAACAUUAAGAGUUUAAGACGAUUGAAUUGACAUUUUCAGACCUCAAUUUAGAGAUGUAAAUCCUCCUAGACGGCAUGGACGCCAACAGGUCUUAGUUACCAAGAUCAAGAUUACGAAGACAAUAACAAGGCAGUACUUGCCAAAGGACCAUCAUAACAAAAAUUAUUGGUAAAAUACAAGCAUCUAAAUGUACUGAGAUAGUCACGGAGAAAUCUCGUACAUUUCAUUAUUCAGAACCAAGGGGCCUAUGGCAGAAUAAGAUCUUACUCUGGUAGUGUACACAGUCCAAACUAUCAGACCACAAAUGGGCACCUUUUCAUCAUAUAAUCUCAAUACAGAAAACACAAACAACCGGUGCUUCAAAACAGACGAUUCACCGAUACUCAGGUAUGUGUGGGUUAAUUGACGAAAGUAUGUCUCCUUAAGCGCAAAAAUAGACUGCCGCCUUCUCAGUCCUGGUCAAACGAUUGAAUAUGCUCAAUGACUU